UACAGAGGCCUCGAGCGUUAGGCGGAAUCACUGGGCUUAAAGCGCGUGUAGGUGGACUGGUAAGUACCUUGUGAAAUCCCACGGCUCAACCGUGGAAUUGCUCGGUAUACUGCUGGUCUUGAGCCACUUAGGGGCUACCGGAACAGACGGUGGAGCGGUGAAAUGCGUAGAUAUCGUCUGGAACGCCAACGGCGAAAGCAGGUAGCUGGGAGUGUGCUGACACUGAGACGCGAAAGCCAGGGGAG
RNAcentral lists this ribosomal RNA (245 nucleotides) under uncultured bacterium. RNAcentral describes it as "partial 16S ribosomal RNA". It matches the Rfam family "Bacterial small subunit ribosomal RNA", at positions 524 to 768 of the family's 1533-position model. The record is from RNAcentral.